CACCGCGGUUAUACGAGAGGCCCAAAUUGAUGAAAUACGGCGUAAAGCGUGGUUAAGAAAAAAAGAGAAAAUAUGGCCGAACAGCUUCAAAGCAGUUAUACGCAUCCGAAGUCACGAAGAACAAUCACGAAAGUUGCCCUAAAACCUCCGAUUCCACGAAAGCCAUAAAA
Molecule: ribosomal RNA, 170 nt
Filed under: Gadus chalcogrammus (walleye pollock)
Lineage: Eukaryota; Metazoa; Chordata; Actinopteri; Gadiformes; Gadidae
Description: partial 12S rRNA
Source: RNAcentral